CAGCCGCCACGGGAAUACGUAGGGUGCGAGCGUUAAUCGGAAUUACUGGGCGUAAAGCGUGCGCAGGCGGUUUUGUAAGACAGGCGUGAAAUCCCCGGGCUCAACCUGGGAAUGGCGCUUGUGUCUGCAAAGCUAGAGUGCGGCAGAGGGGGAUGGAAUUCCGCGUGUAGCAGUGAAAUGCGUAGAUAUGCGGAGGAACACCGAUGGCGAAGGCAAUCCCCUGGGCCUGCACUGACGCUCAUGCACGAAAGCGUGGGGAGCAAACAGGAUUAGAUACCCGGGUAGUCCCUGUCUCUUAUAC
This 301-nucleotide ribosomal RNA is filed under the name uncultured bacterium. RNAcentral describes it as "partial 16S ribosomal RNA". It matches the Rfam family "Bacterial small subunit ribosomal RNA", at positions 509 to 807 of the family's 1533-position model. The record is from RNAcentral.